Molecule: ribosomal RNA, 442 nt
Filed under: uncultured bacterium
Lineage: Bacteria
Description: partial 16S ribosomal RNA
Rfam family: Bacterial small subunit ribosomal RNA
Source: RNAcentral
CCUACGAGAGGCAGCAGUGGGGGAUAUUGCACCAUGGGGGAAACCCUGAUGCAGCGACGCCGCGUGGGCGAAGAAGUAUUUCGGGAUGUAAAGCCCUAUAAGCAGGGAAGAAGAAAUGACGGUACCUGAGUAAGAAGCACCGGCUAAAUAAGUGCCAGCAGCCGCGGUAAUACGUAUGGUGCAAGCGUUAUCCGGAUUUCCUGGGUGUAAAGGGAGCGCAGGCGGCACGGCAAGCCUGAUGUGAAAGCCAGCGGCCCAACCGCGGGACUGCAUUGGGAACUACCGGGCUGGAGUGCCGGAGAGGUAGGCGGAAUUCCUAGUGUAGCGGUGAAAUGCGUAGAUAUUAGGAGGAACACCAGUGGCGAAGGCGGCCUACUGGACGGUGACUGACGCUGAGGCUCGAAAGCGUGGGGAGCAAACAGGAUUAGAUACCCUGGUAGUC